RNAcentral lists this ribosomal RNA (497 nucleotides) under uncultured bacterium. RNAcentral's name for it is "partial 16S ribosomal RNA". It matches the Rfam family "Bacterial small subunit ribosomal RNA", at positions 28 to 507 of the family's 1533-position model. The record is from RNAcentral.
GAUGAACGCUGGCGGCGUGCCUAAUACAUGCAAGUCGAGCGAACGGACGAGAAGCUUGCUUCUCUGAUGUUAGCGGCGGACGGGUGAGUAACACGUGGAUAACCUACCUAUAAGACUGGGAUAACUUCGGGAAACCGGAGCUAAUACCGGAUAAUAUUUUGAACCGCAUGGUUCAAAAGUGAAAGACGGUCUUGCUGUCACUUAUAGAUGGAUCCGCGCUGCAUUAGCUAGUUGGUAAGGUAACGGCUUACCAAGGCAACGAUGCAUAGCCGACCUGAGAGGGUGAUCGGCCACACUGGAACUGAGACACGGUCCAUACUCCUACGGGAGGCAGCAGUAGGGAAUCUUCCGCAAUGGGCGAAAGCCUGACGGAGCAACGCCGCGUGAGUGAUGAAGGUCUUCGGAUCGUAAAACUCUGUUAUUAGGGAAGAACAUAUGUGUAAGUAACUGUGCACAUCUUGACGGUACCUAAUCAGAAAGCCACGGCUAACUACGUG